RNAcentral lists this long non-coding RNA (1799 nucleotides) under Ficedula albicollis (Collared flycatcher). Its description in RNAcentral is "lncRNA (ENSFALG00000028624.1)". The record is from RNAcentral. Lineage: Eukaryota; Metazoa; Chordata; Aves; Passeriformes; Muscicapidae.
CCCAGCUGUAGGACACGUGCAGUGGUUGAUGUCAGUUUGCAGGAGCUGCCGUGGUCCAGCCGGGCUCGCCUGGGGCUUUCCGAGCCCUGCACAGCCCCUGAGGGACAGUCCCUGAGGUGGAUUUCUGUGCAGGCUCCUUGGCAGGCUGGGAUCAGGGCUGUGUGCCCUGUGGCUGUUCAGGGGGAGCAGUGCUUUUUGGGGUUUGCAGGUUGGGAUCAGGGCUGUGUGCCCUGUGGCUGUGCAGGGGGAGCAGUGCUUUUUGGGGUUUGCAGGUUGGGAUCAGGGCUGUGUGCCCUGUGGCUGUGCAGGGGGAGCAGUGCUUUUUGGGGUUUGCAGGUUGGGAUCAGGGCUGUGUGCCCUGUGGCUGUGCAGGGGGAGCAGUGCUUUUUGGGGUUUGCAGGUUGGGAUCAGGGCUGUGUGCCCUGUGGCUGUGCAGGGGGAGCAGUGCUUUUUGGGGUUUGCAGGUUGGGAUCAGGGCUGUGUGCCCUGUGGCUGUGCAGGGGGAGCAGUGCUUUUUGGGGUUUGCAGGUUGGGAUCAGGGCUGUGUGCCCUGUGGCUGUGCAGGGGGAGCAGUGCUUUUUGGGGUUUGCAGGUUGGGAUCAGGGCUGUGUGCCCUGUGGCUGUGCAGGGGGAGCAGUGCUUUUUGGGGUUUGCAGGUUGGGAUCAGGGCUGUGUGCCCUGUGGCUGUGCAGGGGGAGCAGUGCUUUUUGGGGUUUGCAGGUUGGGAUCAGGGCUGUGUGCCCUGUGGCUGUGCAGGGGGAGCAGUGCUGUUUGGGGUUUGCAGGUUGGGAUCAGGGCUGUGUGCCCUGUGGCUGUGCAGGGGGAGCAGUGCUGUUUGGGGUUUGCAGGUUGGGAUCAGGGCUCUGUGGCUGUGCAGGGGGAGCAGUGCUGUUUGGGGUUUGCAGGUUGGGAUCAGGGCUCUGUGGCUGUGCAGGGGGAGCAGUGCUGUUUGGGGUUUGCAGGUUGGGAUCAGGGCUCUGUGGCUGUGCAGGGGGAGCAGUGCUGUUUGGGGUUUGCAGGUUGGGAUCAGGGCUCUGUGGCUGUGCAGGGGGAGCAGUGCUGUUUGGGGUUUGCAGGUUGGGAUCAGGGCUCUGUGGCUGUGCAGGGGGAGCAGUGCUGUUUGGGGUUUGCAGGUUGGGAUCAGGGCUCUGUGGCUGUGCAGGGGGAGCAGUGCUUUUUGGGGUUUGCAGGUUGGGAUCAGGGCUGUGUGGCUGUGCAGGGGCAGCAGUGCUGUUUGGGGUUUGCAGGCUGGGAUCAGGGCUCUGUGGCUGUGCAGGGGGAGCAGUGCUGUUUGGGGUGGCAGGUUGGGAUCAGGGCUCUGUGCCUCUGGCCCCACAGCCAGCAGUGCUGUUUGGGGUGUGCAGCCCUGCUCCUCCAGCCUUCCCUCGCUCCGCUGGCUUUUCCUGCCUGUGUCACUUCCUUCCCUUGGCUCACACGCACCAGUGACACAGGGGGAGGGAGCAGGGCUCAGCCUGCAGGUUGGGAUCGGCUCAAUUCGCAGAUCCCAGUCUUUACCUUGUGAAUGAGAAGAGGGACCCUGAAUGUAUCCCACAAGGAUAAGCCUCCUAGAGCUCUCUGAUUUUUCCUCUCCCUUUACAGAUCAGGUCAUUUGUGAUUUCCUAAAGCUUGCACACAGCAGCAUCCCGGUACCACUAAAACUGCCCAGAGCAAAGGACUCAAAAUGAAAAUCUUUGCAAGACUUUGUUGAGACCUUUAACAUAGGCACAAUUUGUCUAAAGUUUCCUCAUUGCCCCUGCAUCUGCCAACCACUCGCCCAGACCAGCUUUGCUGUUGUGGUG